UCCAAUAACAUUGUUCGUAGAAGAUGAUGACAUGUGUCUCGGCGAACUGAUCACGUUUUGUGCUGUCGUAUCCGAAGAUAGUUGAAUUGUACAGUUACGGACGAAAACGACACCCAUGGGAAACGAGGACGAACUCGCCAAUGACCAUAGGGAAAGAGACCACUCGAUGUUGGGGUCCCUUUGAAUGCAUGCAGCACGGAACGGUCCCGGAAAUCAGUCCCGUCACGCAGACCGGAAGCUGAACGUUGCUAUAGCAAAGGAUUGACAUCCCGUCGCCCGUCUAAAAUAAUUAUGCCACUUGUUUUAACACGUUGUAAAUUAAAUUGUAUCAUAUAAUAAAAUCAAUGUCUCACGUUAA
Ceratina calcarata is the source of this 358-nucleotide long non-coding RNA. RefSeq lists it as uncharacterized. The record is from RefSeq and is a predicted model, not a curated record. NCBI's taxonomy places the organism in Eukaryota, Metazoa, Arthropoda, Insecta, Hymenoptera, Apidae. The transcript is spliced from 2 exons.